GCCUCCCUCCGCGCCAUCAGACUCCUACGGGAGGCAGCAGUGGGGAAUUUUGGCGUCAAUGGGGGAAACCCUGGACGCAGCAACGCCGCGUGGAGGAUGGAAAUCCCUUAGGGACUGGUAAACUCCUUUACGAUUAGGGAAGAUAAUGACGGUACCUAUAGAAGAAGCCCCGGCUAACCUUCGUGCCAGCAGCCGCGGUAAUAC
RNAcentral lists this ribosomal RNA (204 nucleotides) under uncultured bacterium. RNAcentral describes it as "partial 16S ribosomal RNA". It matches the Rfam family "Bacterial small subunit ribosomal RNA", at positions 307 to 526 of the family's 1533-position model. The record is from RNAcentral.